GACAGAGGGUGCAAACGUUGUUCGGAAUUACUGGGCGUAAAGCGCGUGUAGGCGGCCCUGCAAGUCGGAUGUGAAAUCCCACGGCUCAACCGUGGAAGUGCAUUCGAAACUGCAGGGCUAGAGUCCUGGAGAGGAAGGUGGAAUGCUUGGUGUAGAGGUGAAAUUCGUAGAUAUCAAGCGGAACACCGGUGGCGAAGGCAGCCUUCUGGACAGUGACUGACGCUGAGACGCGAAAGCCAGGGGAGCAAACGGG
This 253-nucleotide ribosomal RNA is filed under the name uncultured bacterium. RNAcentral's name for it is "partial 16S ribosomal RNA". It matches the Rfam family "Bacterial small subunit ribosomal RNA", at positions 524 to 776 of the family's 1533-position model. The record is from RNAcentral.